RNAcentral lists this ribosomal RNA (440 nucleotides) under uncultured bacterium. RNAcentral's name for it is "bacterial SSU rRNA". It matches the Rfam family "Bacterial small subunit ribosomal RNA", at positions 32 to 501 of the family's 1533-position model. The record is from RNAcentral.
AAUCAACGCUGGCGGCGUGCCUAACACAUGCAAGUCGCACGAGAAAGGGACUUCGGUCCUGAGUACAGUGGCGCACGGGUGAGUAACACGUGAAUAAUCUACCUCCGAGUGGGGAAUAACCUAGAGAAAUCUGGGCUAAUACCGCAUAACACUUACGAGUCAAAGCAGCAAUGCGCUUGGAGAGGAGUUCGCGGCAGAUUAGUUAGUUGGCAGGGUAAUGGCCACCAAGACGAUGAUCUGUAUCCGGCCUGAGAGGGCGCACGGACACACUGGAACUGAAACACGGUCCAGACUCCUACGGGAGGCAGCAGUGGGGAAUUUUGCGCAAUGGGGGAAACCCUGACGCAGCAACGCCGCGUGGAGGAUGAAAUCCCUUGGGAUGUAAACUCCUUUCGAUCGGGAAGAUAAUGACGGUACCGAGAGAAGAAGCCCCGGCUAAC